Homo sapiens (human) is the source of this 740-nucleotide long non-coding RNA. Ensembl annotates it as long intergenic non-protein coding RNA 2768. NCBI's taxonomy places the organism in Eukaryota, Metazoa, Chordata, Mammalia, Primates, Hominidae. The record is from Ensembl.
GACACAGGAGGGUGAGAACCGAGUGUAAGUGCAUCUGUGUGUGUGAGUGCUUCUGUGUGUCAGUGUUUUUGGGUGAGGGUGUGUAUUAGUACGUGUGUGAAUAUGUGAGCUUGUGUGAGUGUGUAUGUCAGUCUGCUUGGGUAUCAUCACGAUGCGUCACACACAGCGUGGCUUAAACCACAGGAAUUUAUUAGUUUACAGUCUGGAGGCUGGAAGGCCAAGAUCAUGGUAUUGAAAUGAUAAGAAAUCUGACUUUCUUCUAGCCUCAUCCUGGGUUUGUGAGUUUAUGAAGAAGCUGAAGAGCUCCAUCACUUCCCAGCUAAACAUAGCUCUUCAGAUCUCAGGGUUUAAGAUGAUUUCCUCCUAAGUCAACGCAGCAUUUUGCCUCCAUUCAAGCAACCCCUUGCUCCAAGCAUCGUGAUGUGACAGUGCAGCGUUCACCGGCCCACCCCAGCUGAUCUGCCCUAUGGCACAAGAAUAACAAUUGGAAAAACUUGGCUUCCCUCCGAGAGCAAUGCCAGCUUUGCCCAGGCCAGCCAUCUCUGGCAUAACUCUGUUCAUUUGAGCUUUCCUCAUGUGUGAUCAUCCUUGUAUGACCCCGAGGCCAGAAUCCCCACUUAUUAAAGCUAGGAAAGACAUUUUUGAGGCUCUAGUUAGUUUGUUCUUUCAUAGUGAAAGAACCAUUUGUGGGCUCAAAGGGGGAUGUGGCAAUAGGUUAUUUCGGGCUUUCGAAAGGCCUG